CAGGGAGAGGACAAUUGGAAGCUCUAUCCGUGGACGCCUCCUGGAUUCGGCCCUAUUCAAGUUGAACUCUUAAAGAGGUGGAACAAAGAACAAAGUAAAUUGGAAGCCAAAUUUGUCGUUUUCCUUCUUCUUUUCCAACUUAAGUCCAGUAACACUAAACAGAUGGAAGAUCAUAAGGAGGAUCCGCCGGACUUACGACAGGCUGCAGUCUAAACCUGGCCUAUUUGGAUAUGUGCAAGGUCACCAGUGUGCCAUGGCGGAGCCGUUCCUCUACAACUUGCUGCUCACUGCCCCAAUCUGCAGAGUCACUCAUCUCUUCCAAUCUGCAAUGAGACUUGCUUCAU
This is a long non-coding RNA of Eubalaena glacialis (North Atlantic right whale), 344 nucleotides long. RefSeq lists it as uncharacterized. Lineage: Eukaryota; Metazoa; Chordata; Mammalia; Artiodactyla; Balaenidae. The transcript has 3 exons. The record is from RefSeq and is a predicted model, not a curated record.